RNAcentral lists this ribosomal RNA (270 nucleotides) under uncultured bacterium. RNAcentral describes it as "partial 16S ribosomal RNA". It matches the Rfam family "Bacterial small subunit ribosomal RNA", at positions 84 to 353 of the family's 1533-position model. The record is from RNAcentral.
UUUGAUGGCGACCGGCGCACGGGUGAGUGACACGUAUCCAACCUGCCGAUGACUCGGGGAUAGCCUUUCGAAAGAAAGAUUAAUACCCGAUGGCAUAGUUCUUCCGCAUGGUAGAACUAUUAAAGAAUUUCGGUCAUCGAUGGGGAUGCGUUCCAUUAGGUUGUUGGCGGGGUAACGGCCCACCAAGCCUUCGAUGGAUAGGGGUUCUGAGAGGAAGGUCCCCCACAUUGGAACUGAGACACGGUCCAAACUCCUACGGGAGGCAGCAUG